UGAUUGGUGUGUGAGAGAGAGAGACAGGGAGAAAGAGAGGGGGAAGAUGUUGGUGGAGGUGGUGGUUGAUUCGGUUUGUUGGAUGUGUGUGCGCGCGCGUCUCGUUCACUUGUGCGACUAUCGUGCUUUUGCCGUCUCUGUGCGAGCUCGAGGGAUUGCCGUAGGCUACCAUAGCCCGUGCAUAUAUAGAUGUGAGAGAGACAGUCAGAGAAGAUGCGAUUGCGACCAUCGAGCGAUACACGAGCAACGGGCCGCACGGUCUAGUGGUGGGCUUGUUUACACAGGCUAGUAUUACCGGACGAGUCUCUCAUUUCUUGCCCUGGCUUCCUCCUCCACGCCGGAUGCACUCACACAGCCCUGCUGCUGUUGCUGCUGCUCAAUGUCAACUGCCGUGCGUGAUCCCGCGGGUAUCCUUUUUUUUUGUUGAUUAAAAUUACAUAACCUCUAAUACGGCGGAGCAACUAGCGGCCCGCUCGCUAGUUUCUAGUGCUGGUGCCGUCGAACCAAACAAACCCAUCCCGGACCCACCCACGGAAGACGACGGAGUGUGUAUGCGCGCGCGCGCGCUAUUUCGGCGCCCAUUUCGUCACCUCCAGAGAUCGUUGGGAUCGUGUGUGUGUGUGUUUGGUAUCUGUCUGACACCGUGCAACGGUGUGUUGGUUGCGUGCGUGCGUGCGGGCGUUUCUAGCAUCACUGCUCGUGCUCCCACACACUGGCACCGAUACGGUGCGAGGUGUGAAUGAAAAAGGGUGUGCGUGCGUGUGUGUGCGGGGCGCCUCCAUCAACCUUCAUGACUCACUCAACCACAACUGCCUCUCGCACACACCAACGUUACUACUACGCUACAACAACAAUCACCCAAUUGACGCUGCACUGUAUGCAGUUGGAGUGCGCUUUUUCCGACUUUUCCCCCAGCCACACCUGCAGGAUGGAAAAGCGCGCAACAGCAGGCAGCGCCAUCGUAACGCAACACACAUUCGCAACGGGCUUCUGUGGCAACGCGAACCGAAGAAAAACCACCCGGAUGAUGGGGUGUUGGAAAAGCGGGCCCCAUCACCCAGGGGGGAAGGGAAGGGAAACGAUCGAGACUUUUCCGAUCCUGACGCAUCGGUCGGGACGCGUACUGGCACGGUCGGAUGACGGCGCACCGGAAAAUUCGGCCCGCAAAGAAACAUCUGCUUCCUCUGGAGGUUGUUUUUUUUUUUGUUAUACCACGGGGGUUGUACCUGCCAACGAGGUUAACAAGGUUCGGAAAUUGUGCUGACCGAGAAACAGACCUUCCCGGGGCCAAAUUCUUGGUAAAGGUUUGAUUGUGGGGAGCAGCUUGGCAGGUUACCACACGAAGCAUUAGUACAUCUGGCUCUACACUGACACUAGCUCUUAGUGAACUGUCAUUUUUUGUUUUUCUUUUUCAGAACACACGCACACACACACUGAUUUCAAAAUAAAGGUGGAAAAAAGUAACACAACACGCAAAAUUCUGUUUGCUUGUUGUCGUCGGGCACAAGGAUGCUUACGGAAGCACACUACACUAGCGAAGCGAACCAAGCACACGAUAAAAAGUACGUUAAAGACGAGUAGGCGCUAUAUAAAAUAAAAAUGCUACCAACUAGAACAAAAAAGGCAGAAACCCAAAUAAAUAAACGUACAGUAAA
This is a long non-coding RNA of Anopheles stephensi (Asian malaria mosquito), 1655 nucleotides long. RefSeq lists it as uncharacterized. Lineage: Eukaryota; Metazoa; Arthropoda; Insecta; Diptera; Culicidae. The record is from RefSeq and is a predicted model, not a curated record. The transcript is spliced from 2 exons.